GCUGCUUUGCUGACGAGUGGCGGACGGGUGAGUAAUGUCUGGGAAACUGCCUGAUGGAGGGGGAUAACUACUGGAAACGGUAGCUAAUACCGCAUAAUGUCGCAAGACCAAAGAGGGGGACCUUCGGGCCUCUUGCCAUCGGAUGUGCCCAGAUGGGAUUAGCUAGUAGGUGGGGUAAAGGCUCACCUAGGCGACGAUCCCUAGCUGGUCUGAGAGGAUGACCAGCCACACUGGAACUGAGACACGGUCCAGACUCCUACGGGAGGCAGCAGUGGGGAAUAUUGCACAAUGGGCGCAAGCCUGAUGCAGCCAUGCCGCGUGUAUGAAGAAGGCCUUCGGGUUGUAAAGUACUUUCAGCGGGGAGGAAGGGAGUAAAGUUAAUACCUUUGCUCAUUGACGUUACCCGCAGAAGAAGCACCGGCUAACUCCGUGCCAGCAGCCGCGGUAAUACGGAGGGUGCAAGCGUUAAUCGGAAUUACUGGGCGUAAAGCGCACGCAGGCGGUUUGUUAAGUCAGAUGUGAAAUCCCCGGGCUCAACCUGGGAACUGCAUCUGAUACUGGCAAGCUUGAGUCUCGUAGAGGGGGGUAGAAUUCCAGGUGUAGCGGCGAAAUGCGUAGAGAUCUGGAGGAAUACCGGUGGCGAAGG
This 646-nucleotide ribosomal RNA is filed under the name uncultured Pseudomonadota bacterium. Its description in RNAcentral is "bacterial SSU rRNA". It matches the Rfam family "Bacterial small subunit ribosomal RNA", at positions 79 to 721 of the family's 1533-position model. Lineage: Bacteria; Pseudomonadati; Pseudomonadota. The record is from RNAcentral.